Long non-coding RNA from Numida meleagris (helmeted guineafowl), 14975 nucleotides. RefSeq lists it as uncharacterized. The transcript has 7 exons. The record is from RefSeq and is a predicted model, not a curated record. NCBI's taxonomy places the organism in Eukaryota, Metazoa, Chordata, Aves, Galliformes, Numididae.
GUCCCAUGGUGCCUUUGUAAUCAACUAACUUCCCUUUUGCCUGCUCUGUAGCAGUUCAGAUUAGGGAUCUAUGAAAUGAGAUGCUUGUCAGUGGUGCUGUGAGUUAAACCUUUUGCAAGACAUGUCUUAAAACCAACAUACAUGAUUUGGUAAAUCUGAAAGUCUGUUAGUCAUUAGAUACUGUGUUAUAUGACCCUUACUCAACGUGAACAAUAGCCUCACUUCACAGUUUGUGUGGGACUUUGGGGAGGAAGAUGCUGGAAAGGGCAAGAGGAGUGUGAAGUAUGACUCAGUAUGAAAAAUGAUUUCAGAGCUGGGCCCUGCUACGUUAAAGUUCAGAAAAAUAGUUCAUGAAAGAUAAGCCCUGUAAGGGCAGCUGGUGAGAUUCACCCGUUCACUACCAUUUUUGUUGUUGUUUUGAAGGAAAAAGUGAGUUUAAUAAGUGAAAUGUAGCUGACUUUCAUAGCAAUACUGGUGUUAGGAGAAGGAAGGAAAGUUCCAGACACAGUUCUAUUGACUUCAUAUUUAUUUCCUUCUGCAGAGUUAAAAGCAAAAAUUUAGAACUCCAAUUUUGCAAUCUCUUCCAAAAAGUCCUCUAGUAAGGUUCCGGAAAAGAUAUUAAACUGUGUGAUUAAAAGCAGUUCAAACUAAUCCAGAAAUGAAUUCAUGUUGCAUCCGAUCAUAGCUUUUGAAUAAUCAAAACUUUAGGCCUGCUCAGACUUUGCUUGUUCUAACUUCCAGCACUAAAGUAAAAUUAAAAGAGCAAACAGUAUUUAAAUGACAAAUAACAGCCAGUAAGCAAAUAGAGUAAUACUUGUAAUCAGCUGUACAAGUAUUAUCAGAUGCAUCAAUUCCUUUAAGUACUUUGGUGAAACUAUGCAUUGAGGAACAACAGUCAGGUAUAAUUUCAUGAUGCUUUGGGGAAAGCGUACAGAAAAUCUCAGAUAUCUAGACUGCAGAAGACCUACAAUAUAUAUAUAUAAUACAUAGUCUAGAUCUUACAAGAACAGCUAUUAUUACUGCCUUCCACAGCUUUGCUUUUAUUUUCCUCCACUUGAUGAUUUUAUGCUAUAGUGUACCAGCCAGUACAGUCAUCUGUAUUUAUGCAUAGCACAAGCACUAUUUCCUCACAUAUGACUGAGUUAUAUCCUGUAAGUGGUACAAGAACUCAAGUAGUUUUUCUGGAUUUGUUAUGUACUGAAUUAGUCUGUCAUUUGAUUGACACUUUUAAACCCUUGUCAUUUAGAAGAAAGCUUGUCUUAGAAAUAUGAAAGAUUAGAAAAUUGCAUCUAGGUAUGCCAGUCAUGUAACUAUAGAUCUGAUCGGUCAUCUGAAUAAGGAACAUUCAUUUGCUCCUAUUUACAUUUGUAAUUUAGAGAGAACUGAAAGGAAAGUGAAAAACAAAUGCUCUUGAUUCAAAAGUAUUAUUACAGUAUCAUUUUUUGUAUUUUUAUUCUUCCCCCUAAUUUAAUAGGUUGGUUCCCUUAGCUCUUAGCACAGUACUAUGUAGCUCAAUAUUGUUAUUUUGAGUUGAAUAACAGUGUAAAUGUCAUCAAAAUCCUGAUCUGUCCUUAAAACAGUAUCAUAUUGGUUUGGUCUCUUGUAAAAUAUUUUCCUCCCUAAUUGCCUUUUCAUUCAAUCAGAAGACUUACAGUGGUAACCAUGGCACAGCUGAAAAACAAUUCAUCGUAUCAGUCACAGACUCUCAUAAUAAAGCACCUUAAUAAGACCAAGUUCUGUACUUCUUGAAGGCACAAGAUAAAUUGGGUUCAUAGUCCAUUAUUUGAACAAGGGUAUCUGACUUAUGGCAAAUCUAUCUGAAAGAGUAUUGUAGAAUUGUAUUUUAUCUUUAAGAAAUGUGUUUUCUAAAAGUAAGAUAUUUACUUCUGUUGCAGUAAAGGAUUUAAACAGAAGAAAUCUUUCUAAUGUUUGCUGAAUCAUGUGAGAAUGAUGAGGUAGUAGAGAGCCAUACAUCAAACAACAUAAUGUUUUAUUUUAUUUCAAGAGGGAAGGCUGAGUACAGAAUGCCCAAUGGUUUUGCCAAGAGUACACACUCUCUUCCUUAUUUACCAAGCUAGAUAUACCAUGAAGAAGGUGACAGGCCCUCUUAAACUUUUUCUGCUGCUGAAAUUUACAGAUGUGCACAUUUACUUUUUCUUUUGUAAGGAACAUCAGAAUGUCAGUGCCAGAGACUGCAUUUUUCCAGCUCUCUAGAGCAGCCAUGGUGUAAAGGGAAGGAAAGCAUCUAUUUUUUUCUGCACCUACCCCAUCAGUUUGUCCUCUUUAUGAAGUAAAGAGCUGGCAAUGGGUGUAAAGAGAACUCUGGCUUUCUUCCUAAGCUUGUUUUUUGUUUCCUUGCUCUAUAGGAACAGUUAACAGGUAACACAGGUAGGACUUAUUUCGGUAGCCAUUUUCUAAUUAGGGGUCUUCUACAUCAAGUAUUAAACAAACCAACACCAAGAACUCAUUCUCUGUGUGCCUGUGAGGCAUCAUCAGGCAACUACUGAGUUUUACUGGAGGAGAUUCAGACUUACAGUUUAAUAUAUGAAAAAUGCUAUACUGCACUGAGAUUUCCUACACAAGUUCCUUUGGCCUUGGUUCAAAUAACAAAAUCAGAUUUAAUCUUCCCAUGUAAAUACUUGCUCCUAAUCUUAACCAGAAACAUCAAGAUGUUUACGACUUAGCCAAUGUUUUAUUGAUAGUUCCCGAUCCACGAAUAAGAUACAGAUAAGAUUUGAGCUGGCCUGGGUGUCUCUUUAUAAAAAGUUUCUUAAGAGAUCUUAAGAAAUGAGACAUUUUUGCUUCUACCUUACCAUUUCCUUCAUUUCAGUGCUUUGGAGUUUGUGCCUGUAAUUUUAAACUUCUGCUUUAUGAAUAGGGCUUUUUCACAUAGAAAUAACAGGUCAGGUAUGUUGAGUGGAAAAAAAAGUGGUUAUUGUAAGAUUGUGGCUCUCUAUUCUUGCUAUGUUUUCUAAUACUCUAUUUCUGUAUAUGAUUUUACUUUCUGUGUACAGAACAAAUGAACUGUGCUCAAUCACUCACAGUCUCUUUGAUCGUAGUGAACAGGCAGCCUGUAGAAUGACUGCAAAGUCACUGAAGUGAGUUUGAGACUGAGGAACAAGAGUAAGGUGAGCCGUUAAACCCUACCUUCAUUUGAGGCUACUGUAAGUAGGGUUCUGUAACCAUCAGAAUGUUAACAGCAGUUGAGUUCAACUGUACAAUUUCUCCCUGUCAUGGAUACAGACUGUCUACAUAGCCAGGUGGAGACAGUGGACCACUUAAGUCCUUCUGGUUAAAGCAGCUUUGAUUCAGAGCAAUAGAUGUGAUGUUGUAGGCAGUUACAGUGAUUUUUAGAAUACCUGCACCAGAAGUGAUAGAUGACAAAGCAAGGAGACCAAGGAAAGUCCUCACAGAUGUUUCUUGGAACCGUUAAUAUUGUGAUUGGGUGUCUCUGUCCUCUUGCUUGCUUGAAUAAGGAAUAGUUCAAUUCUUUUUUAAAUACUAGUCAAGAUGUUGUGCUGCUAACAAACCAGCAAAGUUUUGUGGCUCUGUGAUUGACAUGACAUUACUGAUGCAAGUGAGUAUUUUACAAUAAUAAAAAUUUUACUGAUAUCCAAUAUCAAUGGUAUGAUUAAACACAAAAUAAUAUAUAUGCUAUCAUGAUGGAAAUAGAGGAAAUAUUAUCUCUGGGAAAAUAUAUGCUUGGAAAAAAAUGCCACUAGUGUUGGUUUUCCAUCAAAAACUUAAAAAACAUUAUAUUUACCAUAUUGAUAAUACAGACCUCAUCUUAUGCUUAAAUAACAUCCUGCUGAGCUCAUUUAUAUUGACAGAAUGACUAUCAUAAAUGGCAGGAUCAUUAUCACAGCAACAGUUGAAUGUAGAUCGAGCUCUGUUAGAGCUAUCCUUCUGUUUUAUGUGCAUGUGAAUGUUGAUACGGUUGGCCUCUAGUCUAGAGGCUUAAAAACUGAAAAUAGUAGUACUAGAUAGACUUUAUUUGCUUGUUUAUAUAAGAUACAUGUUUCUCUAGGAUAAGGCAGUGAUAGAAAUUUUGGGGAUGAUCUGUAUUCAGAGAUAUGAAUGAUUGUAUUUCAUCAUAUUACUAGACCGUUCUGAAUAGAGGUUAGGCUUGCCCAAACAGCAAAAACAAAGAAAUUGUGCUGUUUCAAUUCUGAAUCCAAAGCUGUCUGAUUUCUGAGUCCUGAGAUUGUAAUUUUCUUCUCAGUUUUUCUUCCCUAACCUUUGUUGUAUUUUGAAUUUUCCAUGUCUGGCUUUACAUCCAAGGUUUCCUAAUAUUGGAAGUUUGAGGAUCUUGGGAGUAUGUUUCUGUUGAGGACCUUUUCUUGAAAUAAAUUUAUCACUCAUAGCUGGGUGGACUCUGGUGCAGCUGAAGUGUCUGAUACUAAGGCAAAUGACACUGCUUGAAAAUGAUGGCCAUGAAAUGUAAGUACACUGCAAAUCACUCAGCUGCAAAGUCUUGGAAUAAAAGCACUGCAGAACUGAUGUAUGGACUGAUGCUGCCAUUUAAUGUGGUUUCCCAGCAAACCUUUCAUAAAAUUCAUGACUGUAGCUGACCUCUGUUACUGUGUUCCUCUUAGGGGGAAAAAAAAAGAGCUAUAACACAGCUCUCGAAGGCAGUGCACUGAAAAGUGAUGCGAAGCAAGGUGAAAGGAAUCAUGUUCACUUCACCACAGACAGUAGAGGUGUGCCUGUAGUAAAACAGUUGAUUAAAUGUCACAGCAUAUUCGACAGCCUUCCAGGUUGACAAGGUUCUCUUCUGACUGGCUUCAAAGUGGGAGGCUCAUUCAAAUCCCAUUACUCGUGAGAAGUCCAAAAUUGCUUUACACUUAAGAAAGUAAAAGCAAAAUCUGCAGUCGGUUGCCACCAACAAACAUACAGCUUCUUUACAUUAUUGUUACUAUAACAUAUGAAACGUGAUGCUGGUUAUACUGUUUUGCUCUUUUAUUAGAUACAGUUAUUUGGCUUCUGGCUUUUGUGUGGCUGUGAGUGCUGAUGUUUCCUGAAAGCAGCCAUUCUGGUCCAUCCUAGAAAGUCUUAGCUUCUUGUUCUGUGCUACUUUUCAUGUUCAUCAUAGUUUAAAGACAAGGGACAGUUGCUGAUGUUAUAUAUUAAGUUAAAGAAUGCCACAGCAAGCUGAAUCAGAGAGGCUAAGGGACUGAUCAUCAUGUCUGAGUCACUUCCAAAGAGAGUGGAUUGGAGCGCAGUGGGGGCAAAAAUAACAGCUGGAGGGAUUCUGGUACCAUGAUAAUGUGGAAAGAAGCAAAUUGUAUCUAAACAGACAGAUGCCAUCUAGAUGGCACAUUUUAAAGAGGAGACAUGCUGAAGAAGUCCUUGUUUUCCUCCUGACUCUGUGUAAAAAGGUAAAUGCAAAUCCAACCCCUAUUCCUACUUUCCUAUCUUUCAACUUCCUACCUUCCUCAAAGGAAGUUCCUUUAAAAUAUGAGAGCUGAGAAGACAUAAUCUUUCAUGCUGUGAUUUGCUUAUUUUGUAAAAAACAACUCGCCUCAAAGGAAAGUUAUCAGUUACUAGUACACACUGUUCUUGCUAUCACCAACUAAAAAUAAUUUAGCUCUUUCAUUCCCUCAGAUCACAUUAGUAAACAAAUCUGUGCAUAAUGGUUUUGUCCAUGUAUUAAUCUAUACCCACCUGAUGAAAAUAUCUUGUGAAUAGAAAUUGAGGAGACUGUGUUGCUCUUUAUCACCUCUGUGAUUUUGAUACCCUCACUAUCAGUAGAGCACGCCACAGUGUAUUUGAUUUGUAGGAGGUGAUGUAUUAUUCCCCAGCUUCUGUGGCAAAGUUGAGAACAAUUGCUUUCUUCUCCUUACCUCCAAGUUCCCUCUUUUAUUGCUUAUGUAUACGUGUGUAUAUAAUGAGGAAGGGCAGGAAGAAGAUGCAGGAAAGAGUGUGUUUCCUGAGAGGUAAUGAAUGCAUCUUCUCCUAGGGCAAUAGAGUUUGCCUAGUGAACAAAGUGCCUGAACAAUUUUUUGCAGAUCAGCUACCAAAACUGUUCUCCCUGGUAAUGAUGUAGUAAUACACAGUGGAAGCUGAAAGUCAGAGCUUCCACUACUCCAUCCCAUUCCCAGCCCAAACAAGCUGUACAUAUAGUAAUACAGUGAGAUAUUGUAAAAAAUAUAUAUAUACUAUAUAAUUAAUUUGUUUUAUUCCUGUUUUCUCUGGGCUAUAUACUCCUUGACUGUGGCUUUAUUUACUCCAAAGGUAUUCUCACUUUGUAUCUAUUUUCUUUAACUUGUAGCUCUAAGGUCAUGUCUAAGUACAAGAUGUUCCUUCCAGAGAUGAAUUAUGAAUGGUAACAACUGGGCUGUACAAAUGCUUCUUUUCCUCUCCACUAUUCUGAAAAUCUAGCAUGGAGAAAGAAGUCUCAUUCAGCUUAAUCUCUCUAAAUUCAGAUUCUGAGGUUGAUGUCAUUACUUUGAUGUUUGAGUAAAUUACAGUAGAACAGCUGCAAGGAGAAGCAAAGCCAUGCUCAAAUUAUAAUUCUCCGGGAUGAGAUUUUUUUUUUUUUUUUGUAGCCACUAAAAUGUAAGGAAUAAGAUUCCAUUUAUUUUUAAUUUUGUGAGAUUAUUUUUCAAUAAUUUCAUAUCAUUGUUUCUAUUAAAAAAUAAUGUUUUGAUUCACAGACAGUGUUAGGGACUGUGCAUCAUGCUGGCAUAAUCUGUACUGUACCAGGACAUUAAUCGAAGUGUAAGAGUUAGGACUACUGUUCUAAAUAUUUGUUUCGUGAAGACAGAGGGUUUUAACAUCCAUUCAGCACAAGUGAUUAAUAGAAAUUGAAACAGAGGAGUACCACACUCAGCAGAUCCUCUUUCUUUUCUUUCUUCUGGACAGUAUAAAUGUGCUGGUGGUGCUAAAUGCCUUCAUACAUAAGUGAGUACAAAAAGAUUAGUCUUUAAUUAUUUCUGGCAUAUGUCCUUUAAAUUCAAAGUCUGUAAAUUGCAAUGGGCAAAGGGUAAUAUGUCUUAACAGGUUACACCUCCCAAAGGAUUUGUUGAUUGACAUCAAAAUUGUUUCCCCUCCCUCUUUUCUGACUGACAGAAUGGCAGGUGUGAAGUGAUGGCAGUGUGCUGUAAUAAUGUGUCAAAAGACCUUAAAUCAAGACUAAUGUGGCUUCAGUGAUAAGCUCCCAAACAUUUGUAUGGCAGAAAAGGGGACUGUAGGGCAGAUUCAUCUUGGGAUUAUUAUAUCUUUGCAUUCUCUGAAAGUGCUUUUUAGUUAGGGUACUUGGAAGGUUAUGGGGUAAAAGUUCUAUUAGUAUUUUUUCUUAUGAAGUGGUAAUCAGGAGAGACAAACAUUUCCAUGCUUGCUACUCUAACAUGAAGAACUUAUUUGCAUCUAGUGUUUUCUUUGCACAGCAAUCUUUUAUUAACAGUGCAAUCUAGAACUUGGAAUAGAAAAAAUACACUUGUUUCAGCAACUGCCCUGCCUUAGAACAAAGCACAACAUUUAAUGCUUGAAGAAACACUAGAAAGGCAGUAAGCAUAAAAAAGGGUGAAUACUGCAGAGAGAUUCAUAUAAGCCACCUCUGAGGUGUAGUUUGUACAGUAUUUCUUAACAUACAGUGAAAAAGAACUCUGAGUUGAAGGGAUGAUGAGCUCAUUUUACUCUAAAAGAGUGGAUCUUUGCAUACGUAAAUAUAUAUUAAAAAAAAGAACAAAAUGUCACAGCAGCUGCUGUACUCCAAUAAAAUGGAAAAAAUAAAAUAAAAACAACAACAAAAAUCACAAGAAAGCCAGAGACCAUGUAUGAAGUCCAACAAUGGUCUGAAUUCUGCCCAAGGGCAGAGAGACUUUCUCUGACCUUCCCAAUGAUUCAGAUCUGUUUCUAAUUAUGAGGGUACUUGAGAGGAGUACUUGGGAGUACCAAAUGCAGGUUUUUGUGUGCAAAAUUCAAAAUGCUUUUACACAUUUUUACAGUGUCUCUCAAGACAAGAGAUCUUGCAUUUCUUUUACAGGUUUAGCUAGAAUGUUAUGAAUUUUAAUGAGGAAAAAAUGGUAGUCCUGUUGAUUAUUUCUCUUCUUUGGAAAGCAAUUUUUGUACAUUAAAACUGUAGGGCAUUCUAAGAUAAUCAUUAUCCAGAGAUUUUCAUGUUGAAAAUUUAUAGAAAACAUGAGAUAGGUUAUUUGUACUGUCUAUUUAAGUAAAAGCUUUUCUAUAUUAAUAAAUGCAAGUAUAUAUAUAAUAUUUAUCUGUAUAAGCAAACAGGAAAGCCAUUUCAUGAUAGGUACAAGGUGGAAAGACAGGGAUUUUUCCCUUUAAGUUUACUGGAGUUCAUUGAGGAUAAUUUCCUGAUCAGACCAACCGGAGGUGAAGUGUUACUGGACCUGGUGCUCUCCGAUGCAGAGGAUAUCGAUAUCAUCAAAGAGAUUAAGAUUAGAGGCAGCCUGGGCUAUAGUGGCCAUGCCCUGAUUGAGUUAAUGAUCUCAAGGAAUAUGGGCCUGGCAAAGGAGAGAGUCAGAACACUGAACUUCAGGAGAGCAAAUUUCUGGCUGCUGAAGGAAUUAUUGUAUGAGAUUCAUGUUGGAUAUUAGGAACAAUUUAUUCUCAGAAAGAGUAUGAUGGCUUUGAAACAGGCUGCCCAGGGAAAUGGUGGAGUCACCGUCCCUGGAGAUGUUUGAGAAAAUGGUAAGUGUGUCACGUAGGGACAUCUUUUAGUGGGCUCAGUGAUCUUAGUGGUCUUCUCCAGCCUUUAUGAUUCUAUGACAUCACCUAAUAAACAGUCCUUAGGGACAGAGGAAUGAAGUAGAGCUGGGAGCCCUUUAAGGACACCUUUCUGAGAGCACAAUAGCUCUCCACCCCCAGCAUAAGAAAUCAAGCAGAGGAGCCAGGAAACCAGCAUGAUUGAGCAAGGACCUGUUGGUCAAACUGAAGAAAAGAAGGAAAUUUACAGGCAGUGGAAGCAGGGAUGGGUGGCCUGGGAAGAAUACAGGGAUGCCGUCCAGACAUGCAGAGAUGGGAUCAGGAAACCCACAGUGGAGAUGGAACUAAAUUUGGUGAGGAAUGUGAAAAAUAGUAAAAAGGGAUUUUACAGAUACAUUGGCUCAGAAGAGACAGACAAAGGAGAGUGCACUCCCUCUGAUAAAUAAGAAGGGAGAACUGCCUUCAAUGGACACAAAGAAGACUGAGGUACUCAAUGAGUUCUUUGCCUUGAUCUUCACUAGCAGUCAGGCUUCUCAUGCCUCUCAUGUCCCUGAACCUCUAGAUGUGGGGUCAGGGGAAGAAAAAUCCCUCCCACUGUAAGAGCAGACCAAGUCCAAGACCACUUUGUGGGUACAAGCCCAUGGGGCCAAAUAACAUGUAUCCCAGCAUCCUGAAGAAACUGGCUGAUGUGGUUGCCAAGAAACUCUCCAUCAUAUUUGAAAAGUUCUGGCUGUCAAGUGAAGUCCCUGGUGACUGGAAAAUGGAAACAUAACUCCCAUUUUCUAUAGUGGAUUGAUGGCAUCAGUGGACAAAGAGCAAUUGAUGUCAUCUACCUGGGCAUAUGUAAGGCCUUUGACAUGGUCCUGCACCUCAUCCUUGUCUCUAAAUUGGAAGAUGAAGAUUUGAAGGCUGGGCUAUUCAAUGGAUAAGGAAUUGGCUGGAUGGUCACAGCCAAAGGGUCAAGAUGAUCAAGGGCUCUAUAUGCAGGUGGAGGCCAAUGAUGAGAGAUGUCCAUCUUGAGACUGGUGCUUUACAACAUCUUUAUCAUUGACAUAGACAGUGGGAUUGAGUGUACCCUCAGCAAAUUUGCUGAGUGGAGACGUUGACAUGUUGACAUAAUAGAAGGAAGGGAUGCCAUCCAGAGCAGUCUGGACAGGCUUGAAAAGUGGGCAGACGAGAAUCUAAGGAGGUUUAACAAGGCCAAGUGCAAGGUGUUGCAGCCUGUAUCCUAGGCUGCAUCAUAAGAGGCCAGCAGGACAAGGCAGGUCCCCCUCUACUGUGCCCCUGUGAGGACCAAUCUGGAGUACUGUGUCCAAGCCUGGAGUCCCCAGCACAAGAAAGAUGCAGAGCUGUUGGAGUAGGUCCAGAAGGGGGCCACGAAGAUGCUUGGUGGGUGGAGCACCUCUCUUGUGAACAAAGGCUGAGGGAGCUGGCUUGUUCAGCUUGGAGAAGAGAAGGCUGUGGGAAGACCUGAUUGCAGCCUUCAAGUACUUGAAGGGAGAUUAUAAACAGGAGGGAGGCUGACUUUUCACAUGGCCUGAUAAUGAUAGGACAAGUUGGAAUGGCUUUUAAGUAGAAGACAGGAGAUUUAGGUUAGAUGUUGGGUAGAAAUUUCUCCCUCAGAGAGUGGUGAGGUACUAGAAUAUUUUGCCCAGAGAAGCUAUGGAUGCCCCAUCCCUGAAGAUGUUCAAGGAGAGGUUGAAUGGGACCCUGGGCAGCUUGAUUUGGUGGGUGGCAGUCCUGCCAGUGCCAGAGUGUUUGGAAAUAGAUGAUCUUUAAGGUUCUUUUCAGUGUAAGCCAUUCUAUGAUCUACACAAGAUGAAAAGGAUGGAUGGAAAAGCAUCAGUGUUUUACAAAUGAUGUCAUGGUUGACACUGAAAUGUGCUGGCCAGCACAAUCCAGUUGGUGCUGAUUAAACAUAGAAAUACUUUGCCAGUGUGGAGGGUGUACAAAGGUUAAAUUAAAAACUCUGAGUACAAACGGCAACAGAGGCUAAUUAUUUCUUCGGCCUUAGACAACAUCACUGUGGGUAAAAGGUGAACCAUCCUGGCAGGACAGGUGUGAGAUACUUCCAAUAUUUACUCGUGUACAACUCCUGACCUUUGAGGAAAUAGAGGUUUUAGGUUAUCAGGACUCUUCAGAUAAAUUAAACUGAAGAUAAAACAAUUUAAGAGCUUUAUUUAACACUUGUAUGUGCAGUAUCUUGUUCCAGGCUCAAACCAGCCAAAAUAAUUGGUCUUUCUUUGUCUUGAAAGAAGCAUAUUUUUGUGUUUGUUGUUGUUGUACAAUGUGAGAUUAUUAAUUGUUAGAUUGUCUCUCUUUUUAGUAAAAGUAUUACAGAAAUGCACUAUGGUCAAGUUUUAACUUCCCCCUAAGCAGCCUUUUCAGGAAAUGGUUCUUUUGGAGAAGCUGGUAAAAUUUGACAAUAAUCUUAAAACUCAUUCUUUCCCUCUGAAGCUUUACUUAAUCCCCAGGAAGUAAAUCUAAUCACUGAACUGAGAAAUUGAGCCUUUAGAUAUGUUUUUAACUACACAUCUUAGUGAAACUUAAGUGUCACUUCUAUGGGGUUGGUUGCUUGUGUGUUUAUGUAUACUAAGAAAGCAAAAAAAUGUAUUUUUCAUGCUUAGAGAUUUAUUUUUCUAUGCUUAUUUCAAAAUAGGACUGGCAUAUAGAGACUUUUUUUUUUCCAUUACGAGAACUACAGUUAGCAGGCUUUCUUCUUUAGAUGACUAAUGACCACCACAAGUGUCCUCACAGUAGUGAAGCUUGUUUCUGGAGCCAGAAAAUACUUGGUUUUGCUUACAAAGACAGUGUGUGCCUCUUAAGUUGUGUUUAUCUUUAUUUGAAUUGUUUCUUUAUUCUUUUCUUUCUUUAAAGACAAUUCACAUCUCUGACUUUUGACACAGUCUAACCAUUGCUGUGGGGUGAGGCAACAGAAAUUUCCCAAAUCUAGGCAUUCACUUUGCAUUAAUUAAAUCUCUGUGUGCUUCUCUCAGCUCCCCUCUCUUCUAAUCCUAGUGAUUUUUGUGCUUUCUAAAAUCAAGCUGUUUCAAAGAUGAAUAAAUCUGUAUGUCAAACCCACCCUCUUCCCCACAAAUACACAUUUGAAUAUGAAUGUCAAGGCCUGUGCACAUGCUUAGUUUCUGUAUGAGAGCAUUCUUCCUAUCUGGAGAAGCGAUUUGACUUCUCUGUAUUGCAUUAGACCACUGUCAUUAAUGACAGAGGUGUCAUUUUGAUGUGAUCUGUGAGGCAGUAGAAGCUUUGAAGUUGAAAGAUAGAAUAGACAUGGAUAAAUUGUGCUCUGAGUAUGCUUCUAUUGCACUAUUAUUGCUGGCAAUUAUUUUACCAAGUGACACGUCUGAUAAAAAGUCAUCCGCCUUGCUAUGGAAAGAAAUCACAGUUCGCUGAAGCACAUGGUAGAUCUGUCGAUUUUAAAGCCUGACAAAAAGCUUAUUAGUUUUGGCCUGAUCAUUCUGCACCAAUCUUGAACUCCUUUACAAUUGUUCUCCCAGUUCCCUUUGUUUUCAGUUAGUUUCCUUUUCUGAGAUAACACUUUUUCUUUAUUUUAGUGUUUGACCAUUUGCUAUCUAUCUUCUCCCCCAUACUUCUUUCCCCAGCACAAGCUUUGCUAAUGAUGUUCCUCACCCCUCCCUUAAAUGUCUUGAGCAAUAUUUAUUUCCUCGUUGGUCUCAUAAAGUGGUAUUUUUACAUUUUUUUUUUAAUCCACAGAGCAUGUGAAGUCUACCUUCUACAUAAAAAUACCAGCAGAGCCCAGCUGUUUUACUACAGAACUCCACCACUGUAAAAAGCGAUUCAUUCUUAAUGGAGCAAUCCUUCUGUUGUGCAUUUCUAUUUUAGCCCAUAUGAGGAAUUUGCAUUCCUGAAAUAACAACAGAGAUCAUCAUGUAUUUUUGCCCAGGAAAGCAACGGCAUCCACAACAUUUUGCUCCUUUUUGUGGGAAUGCCAGUCAUGACCAGAAGAAUUAAUACAACUCCGGAAGUGGCCUUCAGAAAGAUUCAUCCAGGGACAUUGCUUCAGAUAAUAAUAGGUCUUGGCUCUUCAAACAAAUGAACACAGAAGUGAAUGCUGGAGUUGAGCAUAUACUGAAUGUAAAGAGAGAGUUGAAUGUAUUUCACUAUCAACCCAUUGACAGCAGAGGAGUCUCCAGGUGACCACAAGGAGCCUCAGACCCUGCUCCAGGUUUAGUACUGAAAAGCCUUCCAUAAGUAUGCUCCUUCUUCUGCAGGAGACAGACUGAUUUUUUUCAUGUAGAAGUUGUACUAAAGGUUUUUGUUUGCUUGCUUUUAAUUUUAGAAAAAUAUCUAGAGUGCAUACUUUUACCCACAAGUGAGUGAGUUGCAACCAUGGUAGUUUUGGCUGAGAGCUGACUGUGAUGCUGCUCAUACUGUGUUCCUUGCUUGUCAUACCUGCAUGAGAUACAGUAAAUUCUGCAACUGUGGUUAAGGGGGAAGAUUGUACUGAUGUUCAGACAUUUAGUGGGACUCUGACCUAUUUUAUACAUAUAUAUAUAUGUCUGUGUGCAUAUAUAUAUCACUGAAUGUUUUAGCUCUGUGUUUCCAAAUAAGAAACUUUGUCAAAAGGUGGAGAAAGCAUCAGGAGUAUCAGUUGUGAGAUGGUUUUCUGUUUUAUUUUUUCCCCACACUUUCACAAGACAAUUCUCCAUGAGCCUUUCCUAGAGCAGUACUGAAAUAAAAGUAAAGUUCACUGAUCAAAUAUUCCAAAUUUUUCUCUUCUCUUUCCCUUCAUCAGUGAAACUACAUUGAAUCAAUCUGUAAAAAAUGCCAGAUUCUAAUUUUCUAAUCAGUGUGCCUUGUCUGCUCUGAGACUAAACAGAUCGGCUGAAGCUUUAACAGAAAUGAGUAUUUAAUAAUACUCUAAUAUUUUCACAGAAAGGAUACAAAUUGAAAGGUGAUAACAGAUAUCUGACAUCCAAUGAUGCUCAACUGUCUUGAGGUCUGAGACAAGUUUUAGUGUGUGAGUGCUCUAAGUGUAUUGUAGUUCUCUCUUCUCUCCCUUGCAUGCUAUUAAGGGAAUAUUCAAAGUAAUUUCUGCCAAAAAUAAAUUUGAAUUUUACCUGGAUAUAUUGUUUUCUUGUUACAUUAGGUUUUAGUGCUAUGGAAGGGGCGAAGGGUGUGAAUAAUCAUAUAUAAGUUUCUAUUAAAGUUUUAAGUAAUAAUUUUUUAUUUUUAUUUCUUAUAUAUGAACUUGUUUGCAAGAUAAUAAACUGUCUGGAUUCUCUACUUUCACUUCUUGGAGUACAGCAAGUGGGAAUUUUCAAAGCAGCAAACAGGAAGGGACACGCAACAAGGAAUUUUUGAGUCUGGAACUUCUGAGUAAUGACAGGGGAAGGACAGAAUUGGGAAGACUGACAAUUGUUAAUCAGCAAUGAAGUUUGUAAGGAUUCAGUGCACAGAUGGAAGGCACUUUACAGAAGAAAACUGUGGGCAACUAGAGAAAGAAAACCUGGGGUUUUACCAUUAAGUGCUUUUAUUGUCAUAUUCAGAAUCUGUACUAAUAUUGGCUUCAGCAUUACUCUGACUUACUCUUUCCCUAGAAGUGCAAAGAGGAAUGUAUCUAAUAUAGGAAUUGUACCCAGUGCUAGCUUAUCGGCUGGAACAAUCCUCAUUCCACCCCAGUUCUUCUUUCCUCCACUCAAAUACCAAUGAAGUUUUUUGUAUGUUUUGUUUGUUUGUUCAUUUUUUUAUCCUCAAAAGAAUUACACAUGAGUUCACAUUAAUUUAUCAAGACUACGGAGGAUGCUGAUAUAGGGCUGCUUACUGUAGGAAUUUUGCUCAUUAAAGUAUCUUGAUACCUUAUGACAUGCCCAGAAUAUGCUUCUGAAGUAUGAAUCUCUUUACGUAAGAAAGUAACAAAAUAGUUCGCUUUCAGACUUUUAUGUAAGAAACUCAACAAGGAGGAGACAAGGCACACAGCCAAUGCAUCUUCUGUUUUUAAAAUUUCCCAUCUACUCAAGCAGCAGAAUUAGCAAUCAUUGAGUGGUGGGAGAAAGUACCUGAAAAAAUAAUUUUUCAUUUGUAAAAUAUAAACUCACAGUUAAGUGGCAUCAUAAAACACAGGAGUGUUUUUUCCUACUUAAAUGAAGCAUAUCUCUUAUACCUUAUGAUAAAAACUACCUCUGUUGCAAACCAACGUUAUAAAAAAUUGUUAUUUUCUUUAAAUGUGGAAUAAAGCUGAAGACGUUUUCCUUUCCUUUGCCUUGAUCUGAGUGGGUCUCCUUUUACUCUGAACUUUAUAAAAGACCUUGUUGAUUUUUCUGCUG